AGCUCCAAUAGCGUAUAUUAAAGUUGUUGCGGUUAAAAAGCUCGUAGUUGGAUUUCUGCUGGGGACGACCGUUCCGCUCUCUGGGUGAGUAUCUGGUUCGGCUUUGGCAUUCUCUUGGAGAACGUUGUUGCACUUGAUUGUGUGGUGCGGUAUCCAGGACUUUUACUUGAGGAAAUUAGAGUGUUUCAAGCAGGCGCACGCCUUGAAUACAUUAGCAUGGAAUAAUAAGAUAGGACCUUAGUUCUAUUUUGUUGGUUUCUAGAGCUGAGGUAAUGAUUAAUAGGGAUAGUUGGGGGUAUUAAUAUUUAGCUGUCAGAGGUGAAAUUCUUGGAUUUGCUAAAGAUUGACUACUGCGAAAGCAUUUACCAAGGAUGUUUUCA
This 380-nucleotide ribosomal RNA is filed under the name uncultured eukaryote. RNAcentral's name for it is "SSU rRNA". It matches the Rfam family "Eukaryotic small subunit ribosomal RNA", at positions 587 to 972 of the family's 1831-position model. The record is from RNAcentral.